RNAcentral lists this ribosomal RNA (474 nucleotides) under uncultured bacterium. RNAcentral's name for it is "SSU rRNA". It matches the Rfam family "Bacterial small subunit ribosomal RNA", at positions 26 to 518 of the family's 1533-position model. The record is from RNAcentral.
AGGACGAACGCUGGCGGCGUGCUUAACACAUGCAAGUCGAGCGGAAAGGCCCUUCGGGGUACUCGAGCGGCGAACGGGUGAGUAACACGUGAGCAACCUGCCCUUAGCUCCGGGAUAGCUCCGGGAAACCGGAAUUAAUACCGGAUACGACCACGGCCGACAUCUGCUGUGGUGGAAAGGAUUCCGGCUAAGGAUGGGCUCGCGGCCUAUCAGCUAGUUGGUGGGGUAAUGGCCCACCAAGGCGACGACGGGUAGCCGGCCUGAGAGGGCGACCGGCCACACUGGGACUGAGACACGGCCCAGACUCCUACGGGAGGCAGCAGUGGGGAAUAUUGCGCAAUGGGCGAAAGCCUGACGCAGCGACGCCGCGUGGGGGAUGAAGGCCUUCGGGUUGUAAACCCCUUUCAGCAGGGACGAAGCGAAAGUGACGGUACCUGCAGAAGAAGCGCCGGCUAACUACGUGCCAGCAGCCGC